Molecule: ribosomal RNA, 473 nt
Filed under: uncultured bacterium
Lineage: Bacteria
Description: bacterial SSU rRNA
Rfam family: Bacterial small subunit ribosomal RNA
Source: RNAcentral
GGGAAGAAUAAGUAGGGGACAAUACCCCCUAUGAUGACGGUACCGUUUGUAAGCUCCGGCUAACUCCGUGCCAGCAGCCGCGGUAAUACGGGGGGAGCAAGCGUUGUUCGGAUUUACUGGGCGUAAAGGGCGCGUAGGCGGUCAGCACAAGUCAGUUGUGAAAUCUCCGAGCUUAACUCGGAAAGGUCAACUGAUACUGUGCGACUAGAGUGCGGAAGGGGCAACUGGAAUUCUUGGUGUAGCGGUGAAAUGCGUAGAUAUCAAGAGGAACACCUGCGGCGAAGGCGGGUUGCUGGGCCGACACUGACGCUGAGGCGCGAAAGCCAGGGGAGCGAACGGGAUUAGAUACCCCGGUAGUCCUGGCCUUAAACGAUGAAUGCUUGGUGUCUGGGGUUAUAAAGUCCCCGGGUGCCGUCGCUAACGCUUUAAGCAUUCCGCCUGGGGAGUACGGUCGCAAGACUGAAACUCAAAGG